GGGCGGCGGCGGCCACGGCCUCGCGCACCUCGGCGCGCUGCGCGCUUUGGAGGACGCGGGCGUCCCCGUCGACGUCGUGGGCGGGACGUCGCAGGGCGCGCUCGUGGCGGCGCUGUACGCCGCGCACGCGUCCACGUCGCACAUGCUGCCUCAGGCGCGUUCUAUCUCACACUGGUCUCCAUACGACCGCGUCGGCGUGGUGAACGCCGAUCCUUAAGGACUUUGCCCGGCGUGUCUCUCCGCCCAGGGUCCCUCGCUUUCAAUCCCCGCCCUCGACGCCUUUCAACGCCAACUGACGCCUUUCAACUCCACCUCAGGUGAAGGAUCUCGUGGGCGCGUUGUCGUCGCCGCGGCGUCUGAUCACGGAUCUGACGUUGCCGGUGUUGUCGCUCUUCAGCGGGAAGAGCGUGGACGCUAUUCUGAAGACGGCGCUCGGGGAACACGGCGACAUCGAAGACCUGU
RNAcentral lists this long non-coding RNA (462 nucleotides) under Micromonas pusilla. Its description in RNAcentral is "long non-coding RNA (MPUS_LNC000140)". Lineage: Eukaryota; Viridiplantae; Chlorophyta; Mamiellophyceae; Mamiellales; Mamiellaceae. The record is from RNAcentral.